This 1567-nucleotide long non-coding RNA is filed under the name Salmo salar (Atlantic salmon). RNAcentral's name for it is "lncRNA (ENSSSAG00000122155.1)". Lineage: Eukaryota; Metazoa; Chordata; Actinopteri; Salmoniformes; Salmonidae. The record is from RNAcentral.
GGAGUGAGAGAGAGAGAGAGAGAAGGGGAGGGGCUGGCUGCAGCGUGACUUAAAUAUGCUGCAGCAACCAGCAUGUUCUGUCUUCCUGUCGCUCGUUCUCUCCAUCACAUGCACGCCUGCUUCCUCUUUAUUUCUCUCUCACACUUUCUCUUCUCUCUCUGUCCACUCAGUCUCUCUCUCCUCUUCUCUCUCAGUCUGCAUCCUGUAGCCCUGAAGUGCAGUCCUCUCUCUCUCUCUCUAUCGCUCUCUCCAUCUCUCUCUCUGCACCACUGUUGGAGGAGGAGUCACUGAUACACACACUCUCUUUCUCACACAGUCUGUGUGACCAGCCCAGCCAGCAGCCAGCAGGCCCGUUUCAGAGCAGGGAAGCCCAGGAGAGACCUAUCCCAGGAUGGAUGUACUGAUGAAGGGGUUCAGCAUGGCCAAGGAGGGGGUGGUGGCCGCUGCGGAGAAGACCAAGGCUGGGGUGGAGGGGGCAGCCGCUAAGACCAAGGAGGGUGUCAUGUAUGUAGGUUCAAAGACAAAGGAGGGAAUGGACGCAGGGGUAAACAUAGUUGCUAACCGCGACCAGGCGAACAUCGUCGGGGACCCCACUGCUGCUGGAGCUGACCUCUUACAGGGAGGCAUGGAGAAUACCGGACAAGCGGUGAGUUACCAUGACAACAGAUGAAAGAAUGAUUGAUCAAUUAUUAGUGACUGACAGGUCAAUGUGAACAAGAAUAUACUAAGAAUAUAAUAAGUGAUCAAUCAACACAAUAACUGGUAAGGAAUGUCAGAUUAGGACCGUUGACAUAAUACUAGACACAAUAACUUGACCUUAUCAAUCAGGUAGCCUCUGAAAGCCCAGGCUUCAGUCCUCGCGAGACUAUCAAUCAGGUGACACAGCACCCUUUUUCAGUUGAAUGCAUUCAGUUGUACAACUGACUAGGUUUCCCCCUUCCCCUUUACAACUGACUAGGUUUCCCCCUUUCCCUUUACAACUGACUAGGUAUCCCCCUUUCCCUUUACAACUGACUAGGUAUCCCCCUUUCCCUUUACAACUGACUAGGUUUCCCCCUUUCCCUUUACAACUGACUAGGUAUCCCCCUUUCCCUUUACAACUGACUAGGUAUCCCCCUUUCCCUUUACAACUGACUAGGUUUCCCCCUUUCCCUUUACAACUGACUAGGUAUCCCCCUUUUCCUUUACAACUGACUAGGUAUCCCCCUUUCCCUUUACAACUGACUAGGUAUCCCCCUUUUCCUUUACAACUGACUAGGUUUUCCCCUUUUCCUUUACAACUGACUAGGUAUCUCCCUUUCCCUUUACAACUGACUAGGUAUCCCCCUUUUCCUUUACAACUGACUAGGUAUCUCCCUUUCCCUUUACAACUGACUAGGUUUCCCCCUUUCCCUUUACAACUGACUAGGUAUCCCCCUUUUCCUUUACAACUGACUAGGUAUCUCCCUUUCCCUUUACAACUGACUAGGUAUCUCCCUUUCCCUUUACAACUGACUAGGUUUCCCCCUUUCCCUUUACAACUGACUAGGUAUCCCCCUUUCCCUUUACAACUGACUAGGUAUCCCCC